Non-coding RNA from Microcebus murinus (gray mouse lemur), 2663 nucleotides. The record is from RefSeq and is a predicted model, not a curated record. NCBI's taxonomy places the organism in Eukaryota, Metazoa, Chordata, Mammalia, Primates, Cheirogaleidae.
UUGACUCUGUGGGAAGGGCAAAAUUUCCAUCAUCAUUAUCAGUUUUCACGUAUCUGAUCGCAGUAAGUCAAUGACCUUUUCAGGUGUUAAAAUGGGACAUUAGUAAAAGUAGGAAGAGUACAGGAGAGAAAAGGUCAGCUGAAACCAACAACAUUUUACUUAUGAGUUCCCUGGGCCUGAAACAGAUGUUUAUAAUACACAUAUUUGACAAGAAUUCGCAUCCAGAGUUUAUAAAGAACAAAUCAGUCUGCUGUGCCUCUAUUAUUGGCAGGAUAGCCAAGGGAGGCAGUCAGAACCUUUGAUGCCCAGCAAGCUGUACCACUAGGAGAAAAGCAAGGCAAAACUUUGCUGCAAACCUUAAGAAGAAAGAGAUGCAUGCUUGCACAGGGUAAGUUCCUCCUACUGCUGAUUUCCCAUCUGCAAAGGUGGAAGUUGGGUGGAGCCCAAUGAUCCUUUCGAGCUUUAGAGCUUGCAACAUCUUUGGCAUAAGGUAUGAAUUGAUUUUAUUUUGCUUUAUUCUUUAUUAUUUUGAAGAUCUUAUAUUCUUGUUGCUUUUCAGAAAGCACAAAAAUACAGAUUCAGUCUAGAAGGGCUUUAUUAGCCAUGAAACUUAUGACAGACCUUAACUACAACCAGGAUGCCCCAAAGAGAACUUCCAAACCUCAUUUUUGGUUUUUCAAUGCCUGAGUGAUAUUUGCAACUGGCAUGGCAAAUUACAUAUUUCACGUCUAUUUAAUAUCUGAUGACUACACUUUAAAAUGUAAAUGAAGAAGGCUAAUUAAUUUUAAUAUUAAUAUAAUCAUCUCAAAUUACCUUCCUUCCCGUUAAAAUGACCUCUCUAGGUUUAUAAUGGUUUUUUUCAUUGUUAAGAAGAAAUAUAAUCUCUUCCUUCUCUGGGCCUGGCGUGCCUACUCAGGCUGUUGUUUAACAGCACACAAUCAAGGACAGCAUACCCAGGCAGGUUGGUUUCAAUUUAACCUCCACUCCAGUCUCAGUGGCUCAUUUCAUCACUUAGGAUAAUAGCAGUUCUCAGACAUUUAAUACAUUUCUCAGAGCCCAGGUGUUCAGGGUCAGCGCAGGCAAGGCAGUCCCUUAUGAAGAAAAGGGGGGGGGAUCUGAUCCUUUCCUGGCACCAGCCACACAUGAAGGGCCACCUCUCCAUUGCUCACUCUCUCAUGUCUGACUUCCUGUCCUCACUUCUCCUCCCUGAGGGAGCAUGUGUUCUUCUUCUUGUUCUUUAUCAUGAAAACUUGGAGCUGAAAGGGACCUGGACCUCAGAGGUCAACUGUACAUGUCAGAGAUGAAGAGGCAGAGGCCUGGCGAGGUCACGUGACCGGUUGGAGGUCGCAAAGCUGGUGAGGGGAGGGCUGCGCCGGGACGCUGGGUCUUGUCACUUCCACUGCAGAGACUUUUCUCUUCCAUCAGACUUGGAAAGGGGCAGUAGAGGCAUUAGAGAUUUCACGUGGCAUUUUAAAAUAGCAAGCCUUUCUUUUAUGUUUUUUUCUCUCUUGUUUUACAAAGAUUUUUAAAAAGUUUCCCAGUUCUCCCAUUUUCUUUUAUGGAAGACUAAUCUGACACCUCAUGUAGAGAAUUGACUGUUUCCCACAAAAUAAACAGCGGAAAGCAAGUUGCACAAGCAUUUAGGGAUAUCAAGGGUCCUCAGUGCUCCAAGCUUCUAACAGCUCAGUAAACAUCCCUCCCCUGAUUGUCGAGGGAGAGGAAGAGGCAGGAAGAAGCUGCCUUCAGAGGACCGGGGACCAGAGGAGGAGCAGUGUUGCAGAGAGUGAGUGAAGAUCUACAGGGAGUGUGGCUUUGGUGGUCUCACGGUGUGACGUUCUGGCCCUGCACAGUAAUACCAGUUGUGGAAGGGUGUGGCAAGGAGGGAAAGAAUGAGCAGUGGAACCAAAAUGCUGUCAUGAAACUCUUGGUCACUUCCAUGGUCCAGAACUGAAUGUACUGAAUUGUGCUUUACCAAGAACCCAGGUAACAAGGACUGGGUAACUUCUUGGACUUCAAAGGGCUUCUCUUCAUGGGAAGUAAGUGCAAAGAGUUAGGGUGUUACACAGGCUAGGAAUGGACCAAGGAGAUGCUUCUCUCAGAUCACCUGGAGGCAAGCAGAAAGCAGAUGAGUGGCACUGAGGACCAUGGGGUGAAGACCAACCACCAACACUAAGAAGUUGAUGAUAAAUGUUCGUUGGGGGAUGCAGGAAUGGGAUACAUUAUUUGGCUGUGCUAACUGUACAAAACAUACAUCCACAUACUGCCUGGAUAUUUUUAAGAGACGAAACCCUUAAACACUACACUGGAAAUGAAGUUUUGAAGUGGGUGCACAUUGACCAGCAGAAUGCAUGUGAUAACUUGAGGGGAAAAGAGUUCAAUGAAUUCCAAGAACAGACGCUUGAAGCCUGCCCUACCUACACAAGCACCACAUGUCCACUGGCUUGGAGGAGUGAGCUGGAAAUAGGCACCUGUGUUUGAGGUUUGAGGUUCACCUGCCACCUGCAUCCCACCUGUUCUUGUUCUCACUUCUUCUCUAUCCGGACUCUGAAAUCUUGGCCCUAAUGUUUCUCAAGACUGGCCCUUUGACUUCAUUACGGACAAUUGUUUUGUUUGUUGAGUCUUGGAAUUUCUGAAAGAACCCAGAGCUGGCUUAUUCCUCUGUU